GAUGAACGCUGGCGGCGUGCCUAAUACAUGCAAGUCGAGCGAACGGACGAGAAGCUUGCUUCUCUGAUGUUAGCGGCGGACGGGUGAGUAACACGUGGAUAACCUACCUAUAAGACUGGGAUAACUUCGGGAAACCGUAGCUAAUACCGGAUAAUAUUUUGAACCGCAUGGUUCAAAAGUGAAAGACGGUCUUGCUGUCACUUAUAGAUGGAUCCGCGCUGCAUUAGCUAGUUGGUAAGGUAACGGCUUACCAAGGCAACGAUGCAUAGCCGACCUGAGAAGGUGGUCGGCCACACUGGAACUGAGACACGGUCCAGACUCCUACGGGAGGCAGCAGUAGGGAAUCUUCCGCAAUGGGCGAAAGCCUGACGGAGCAACGCCGCGUGAGUGAUGAAGGUCUUCGGAUCGUAAAACUCUGUUAUUAGGGAAGAACAUAUGUGUAAGUAACUGUGCACAUCUUGACGGUACCUAAUCAGAAAGCCACGGCUAACUACGUG
RNAcentral lists this ribosomal RNA (497 nucleotides) under uncultured bacterium. Its description in RNAcentral is "partial 16S ribosomal RNA". It matches the Rfam family "Bacterial small subunit ribosomal RNA", at positions 28 to 507 of the family's 1533-position model. The record is from RNAcentral.